Bradysia coprophila is the source of this 518-nucleotide long non-coding RNA. NCBI's taxonomy places the organism in Eukaryota, Metazoa, Arthropoda, Insecta, Diptera, Sciaridae. The record is from RefSeq and is a predicted model, not a curated record.
CCUGGUUCGGAUCGAUUUUGGACAGAGUGAAAUUGGAAAAGUAAUCAGACGUUCAGUGUAUUAUCUCACCAGACAUUUUUAAAUAAAAAAUAAAAUGAAAUUGUUGAUUGUCCUAAUUUUUGCGGCUGUUAUCGUAGCAGCAAUGGCCCAUGAUCGUGAUAACGAUAAAGGACAUGAUUCACAUGACCAUGGCCACGAUUCUCAUGAACAUGGACAUGAUUCAAAACAUGACUCACAUGAACGAGGCGGACCAUCAUCAUCACACCACGAUUCACACGGACCAUCACCCGGCAUUCAACAGAAGAAUGAUCGCCACGACAGUCACGAGAACCACGGUGGACAUCACUACUAAUCCUAUCAUUGCUGAAACGAAUAUUUGAAACAGGACUUUCCAUUUUGUGUUGCUAGUUAGUAACAUUUGAACUUUAAAAUUUCUCUUCGAAAUAAAUAAAUAAUUGCAAGUGCACCGAGAGUUAAAUAUUCUUUUAGAUUGUGGACUGUCAAACCUUGUACAACAU